Molecule: long non-coding RNA, 571 nt
Filed under: Nicotiana benthamiana
Lineage: Eukaryota; Viridiplantae; Streptophyta; Magnoliopsida; Solanales; Solanaceae
Description: long non-coding RNA (NBEN_LNC042009)
Source: RNAcentral
AAGCACUCUCUUAUUCUCACUUCAAAAACAGAACAUUAGUUUACAAAAAGCAUACUUACACUCUUUAAGUUAAAUGUUACUCUAAAGCAUUCUUUUCACCUCUGCUACUUGCGAUAUUCACUAGUCUAGCCGGCUGAAAGCCAAUGCUAGAUAUUGGAACUUCAUCUACUUUAUAUUCUGCACUCUUUUCUUCAACUGGUAUGUCUCUAGUUAUGUUUUGAAAUCCAAACCCUAUAUGUUUCAUUCAUGCACUAGUUUAUCAGUUAUGAAUUCAACUUGUGUUCCUGCUUACUUUUUUGCUCAGCAUGUCUAAACUCUAUCCUGUUUAAUGUAUGCUUUAUAUUUUGCACUCUUUCCAGCUUACUUCUUUACCUAGCAUGUCUAAAACUUCGUCUUGUUCAAUGUAUGCUUUAUAUUCUGCACUCGUUCCUUCUUACUUCUUUACCUAACAUGUCUAAACUGUAUGUUUAAUCAUGUUCAAGACAUGCCAGGCUUCCUGUAUUACAGCUAUGAUCUAUGUCUUAAAUUACUUAUUGUCCAUGAUUUGCCCGCUAAAUCUCUAAGAUCCCAA